GCAAGUCGAACGGCAGCACGAAGAGCUUGCUCUUUGGUGGCGAGUGGCGGACGGGUGAUUAACACUUAGGAAUCUAUCCAGUAGCUGGGGAUAACCCGGAGAAAUCCGGGCUAAUACCGAAUACGCACUAUGGUGGAAAGAGGGGGAUCUUUCGGGACCUCUCACUAUUGGGUGAGCCUGAGCCGGAUUAGCUGGUUGGUGGGGUAAUGGCCUACCAAGGCGACGAUCCGUAGCUGGUCUGAGAGGACGAUC
RNAcentral lists this ribosomal RNA (252 nucleotides) under uncultured bacterium. RNAcentral describes it as "partial 16S ribosomal RNA". It matches the Rfam family "Bacterial small subunit ribosomal RNA", at positions 57 to 305 of the family's 1533-position model. The record is from RNAcentral.